Anas platyrhynchos (mallard) is the source of this 622-nucleotide non-coding RNA. The record is from RefSeq and is a predicted model, not a curated record. Lineage: Eukaryota; Metazoa; Chordata; Aves; Anseriformes; Anatidae.
UUUUUUUUUAUAUGAACGUUGGUAUUGAUCAAAGCAUAACCAAUAGAAACACUGGGGUUAGGACUGGCAUCCAUUUUGUAUGUCAUGUUGGUUACAGAUGGUUGCUAUUUCAGCUUUACUUAUGAGGGAGGGUCUUCGUUAUCUGAUAUUUUGUCUGCACUUUCGUAUUUUACAAGACCAAAAAGGAGAGCCAGGUGAUGAGCAAUUCUCGGUUCUCAAGGCUACAGAGUCUACAAAACUCAUAUAAGCUGUUAGUUCUGAGCUGGAGUUCUACUUUUCUAACAGAAGAGUCACUCAGGUGAAGGUUUAUUAAUUCUUCCCUGCCUUCAUGAGGCUUUCAUGGGUACUUUUGCCUGGAAGAAAGCCUGUACUGAAAUAGGAGGACCCUUGAAGGAUGUUAACUAACAGAAAUGAAUGCUUUAAUAAGGAAGGAGGGUUUCAUUCUUCAAGAUCCCUAUUCAGAGUGGCAAGUCCAAGAACGUUAGAUUAUGUCACAAAGAAAAUACUUCAUUUAUGAAGAAAAAAAGAAAUUAAAUUAUGAAUCCUGAGUUACCAAAGAAGACAUACCAGAUAGAUUACCUAAAAUUCCUGUCUGCCUGUAAAAUCUGUACAUUUUAAGGUG